ACACGCAUGACACACUGCAUAUCAAUAAGCGGAGGAAAAGAAACUAACAAGGAUUCCCCUAGUAACGGCGAGUGAAGCGGGAAGAGCUCAAAUUUGAAAUCUUAAAGGGUUUCCCUUUACGAAUUGUAGUUUAAAGAAGUGUUUUCUGUUGGAGUUUCGGUAAAAGUUCUUUGGAAUAGGACAUCAUAGAGGGUGAGAAUCCCGUAUUUGACCGUUACUUUCCAGCUGUUGUGAUACACUUUCAACGAGUCGGAUUGUUUGGGAAUGCAGUCCAAAAUGGGUGGUAAAUUUCAUCUAAAGCUAAAUAUUGGCGAGAGACCGAUAGCGAACAAGUACCGUGAGGGAAAGAUGAAAAGAACUUUGAAAAGAGAGUUAAACAGUACGUGAAAUUGUCAAAAGGGAAGCGUUUGACACCAGUGUUGUUUUUCCGAAAAUCAAUUACGAAUGUUUUGUUUUUGAGAAGUUAUGACUUCAUCGGCUUGCUUCUUUCUUUACGAAACUUUCUUAAUGCACUUUUCGGUUAACAAGUCAACAUCAAUUUCUUUUGUUGUAAAAGGGUAUGAGGAAGGUGGCUUUCUUUUCGGAGAAAGUGUUUAUAGCCUUUGGCCUCUGCAAUCGGAGAGAUUGAGGUCUGCAGCGUAGAUCCUUCGGGGUUAGAUACACUUGUGCUAAGCUAUAGCCUUUCAUAGACAACUUGUUGACUAUGAUCAGUCAUGUAGCUUACUCGCUUAUGCUAUUUUACCUACGCUUAGGAUGUUGAAGACUCUACAGAGAU
This 775-nucleotide ribosomal RNA is filed under the name uncultured Neocallimastigales. RNAcentral's name for it is "partial large subunit ribosomal RNA". It matches the Rfam family "Eukaryotic large subunit ribosomal RNA", at positions 23 to 624 of the family's 3401-position model. Lineage: Eukaryota; Fungi; Neocallimastigomycota; Neocallimastigomycetes; Neocallimastigales. The record is from RNAcentral.